AUAAAAAUUCAAAUAAUUCGGG
RNAcentral lists this small nuclear RNA (22 nucleotides) under Arabidopsis thaliana (thale cress). RNAcentral describes it as "snRNA_13815". Lineage: Eukaryota; Viridiplantae; Streptophyta; Magnoliopsida; Brassicales; Brassicaceae. The record is from RNAcentral.